This 269-nucleotide long non-coding RNA is filed under the name Castor canadensis (American beaver). Its description in RNAcentral is "lncRNA (ENSCCNG00000031124.1)". The record is from RNAcentral. Lineage: Eukaryota; Metazoa; Chordata; Mammalia; Rodentia; Castoridae.
UAAGACACAAACAGAGAUUGUGCUUGAUUAUCUUUCUAGGUGUAAGAAAAUCUUGCAGAUCAAAUGUGUAAUCCCACUGCGCAUCAUAUGGAUGGACAAAGUGGAAGAAGGCGACUCCAGUGCCAAGAAGUCCUUUCUCUUGGGGUGGCCAAUGGAGAACAUCAGGGCCACCUUCCACUCUUUGGAACAAAAGGAAAAGUGGUACUCAUUCCUUGAAAGAAACAUCAAGCUAACAAAAGAGAAGGACAACCAAAAAAGCCUUGAGCUCC